Molecule: long non-coding RNA, 1306 nt
Organism: Pipra filicauda (Wire-tailed manakin)
Lineage: Eukaryota; Metazoa; Chordata; Aves; Passeriformes; Pipridae
Exons: 4
Source: RefSeq, a predicted model, not a curated record
GGAGUUCUUUUCCAACCUUAAUGAUUCUAUGAUUCUCUUUAUUACUCACAUAAACUGCAGACCUUAACAGAUGAGACUUCUGAAACUCAGCUUUGCAGCGGUGGGAGAGCUGACUAUUUAUUCUGGUGAACAGUGGAUUUCCACACUGCAAUAUUCACCUCUCUUGAAAGAAGAUUUUAAAUGGAUUUAAAUUACAGAAGCAGAGACUCGAGACAUUCAACCUUAACUCAGCCCUGUAGUGACACCAGGAGGAAAAAGGAAAUCUUUAUCUUCUAGAAUCACUUUUCUGAGUGGUUCCCGUUGCAUUGCUAUCCCCUCCAUGCUCUGGUAGGCACGGUUGAGAUAAGGUAACUACUUGCUACCUCCCACCUGAAAGAAGACCCUGACUGCUUCCACUGCUCCUUCUCAAGUGCAGUUUUGUGCUGGUAUGGAGUAGAACCAGCUGGUCAUGAAAUUGGCUGUUUUUUCACCUGGAAGGUGUUUCUCUUCUGGAUGAGAAUAAUGUAUCUUGCAUGGUCCCUUCUCUUCAGUCUGUCCUGUGUUGCUUUAUUUACUCCUGGUGUGCACUGGAAUGGAACAGGCAGAAGUAUAUGGUCAACUGGUCUCAGACUGGCAAUUCCACUGUGUUAUAAUUUGGCCAGGUCAAGGGAAGAUCAAACCCAUUAUUUAAACCAUCUUUAGUGGUUUUAAGCCUAACUCUGCAACCUUUUUGUUCUGAAAGGGACUAGGUAUGUUCAUAUUGUCAGAUACAGCAAAAAAGCAGAUUGAGAUUGUUUCCUUGCCUUUUCCAACAAUUGUGAUCCUUGGGAUGAGAAUCCAUGUCAGUGUGACUGCAAGUGUAACUGCUAAGUAACUGCUGUGCUUGUUUAUUAGAUAUGGACACAGCACAACUGAGUUUAUAUUCAGGAGCUUGAUUUCAGUGCUGCAGAUAUGGCCCUUAUUGUGCUGGGUCAUGCUAUUCAGAGACUGUUUGCUGCAGAAGUGAACUUUGACCAAUGUACUUGUCUUUCUUUGGAGAGAGGCUUGGACUAAGCUGUACAGGAAGUGUCAUUGUGUUGGGUUUAAAAAAUCGUGUUGACUUGGAACGUUUUCUCAUGAUGUAACGGUACAUUUGUAUUAGCAAAGACAUCUUCAUGGAGAUAAGGAUUUUCAAGUGUAGUUUAUAUUACUAGCAAUGCUUAUCAAAAUACAUAAUUUUAGGAGUUUAAAAACUAAUAAAUUAUUUAUCUCAGUUUUUCCAUAAUUUACAUUCAGGCCUGAAUGUUGUCAAGGCAUGUUUUUGAAAACUUGAUUUCAAGUUAAAAAA